ACGAACGCUGGCGGCGUGCCUAAUCCAUGCAAGUCGCACGAGAGCGACCGGUGCUUGCACUGGUCAAUCUAGUGGCGAACGGGUGAGUAACACGUGGGUAACCUGCCCAUCAGAGGGGGAUAACAUCCGGAAACGGAUGCUAAAACCGCAUAGGUCUUCGAGCCGCAUGGCUUGAAGAGGAAAAGAGGCGCAAGCUUCUGCUGAUGGAUGGACCCGCGGUGCAUUAGCUAGUUGGUGAGGUAACGGCUCACCAAGGCCGUGAUGCAUAGCCGACCUGAGAGGGUGAUCGGCCACAUUGGGACUGAGACACGGCCCAAACUCCUACGGGAGGCAGCAGUAGGGAAUCUUCCGCAAUGGACGCAAGUCUGACGGAGCAACGCCGCGUGAGUGAAGAAGGUUUUCGGAUCGUAAAACUCUGUUGUUAGAGAAGAACAAGUGCUAGAGUAACUGUUAGCGCCUUGACGGUAUCUAACCAGAAAGCCACGGCUAACUACGUG
RNAcentral lists this ribosomal RNA (497 nucleotides) under uncultured bacterium. Its description in RNAcentral is "partial 16S ribosomal RNA". It matches the Rfam family "Bacterial small subunit ribosomal RNA", at positions 29 to 507 of the family's 1533-position model. The record is from RNAcentral.